AGUAGCGGCGAGCGAACGGGGAACAGCCCAAACCAGAGAGCUUGCUCUCUGGGGUUGUAGGACUGGACAUCUGAGUUACCAAGAAAUAACGUAGUCGAAUGAUAUGGGAAGAUCAGCCAGAGAAGGUAACAGCCCUGUAAACGAAACGUUGUUUCCUCAGUCCAGGAUCCUGAGUACGGCGGAACACGUGAAACUCCGUCGGAAUCCGGGAGGACCAUCUCCCAAGGCUAAAUACUCCCUAGUGACCGAUAGUGAACCAGUACCGUGAGGGAAAGGUGAAAAGCACCCCGGGAGGGGAGUGAAAGAGUACCUGAAACCAUGUGCCUACAAGUAGUCAGAGCCCGUUAACGGGUGAUGGCGUGCCUUUUGUAGAAUGAACCGGCGAGUUAUGCUAACGUGCGAGGUUAAGGCGGAAAGGCCGGAGCCGCAGCGAAAGCGAGUCUGAACAGGGCGAACGAGUACGUUGGUGUAAACCCGAAACCAGGUGACCUACCCAUGUCCAGGUUGAAGGUGCGGUAAAACGCACUGGAGGACCGAACCCGUGUAUGUUGAAAAAUGCUGGGAUGAGGUGUGGGUAGCGGUGAAAUUCCAAUCGAACUUGGAGAUAGCUGGUUCUCUCCGAAAUAGCUUUAGGGCUAGCCUCGGAGUUGAGAAUCGUGGAGGUAGAGCACUGUUUGGACUAGGGGCCCGUCUUGGGUUACUGAAUUCAGAUAAACUCCGAAUGCCACUGAUUUAUAUCCGGGAGUCAGACUGCGAGUGAUAAGAUCCGUAGUCGAAAGGGAAACAGCCCAGACCACCGAUUAAGGUCCCUAAAUAUGUGUUAAGUGGAAAAGGAUGUGGAAUUGCACAGACAACUAGGAUGUUGGCUCAGAAGCAGCCACCAUUUAAAGAGUGCGUAAUAGCUCACUAGUCGAGUGAUCCUGCGCCGAAAAUGUAACGGGGCUAAACACAUUACCGAAAUCGUGGAUGCAGCUUUGCUGCAUGGUAGGAGAGCGUUCUAAGGGCGGUGAAGCCGGACCGUAAGGACCGGUGGAGCGCUUAGAAGUGAGAAUGCCGGUAUGAGUAGCGAAAGACAGGUGAGAAUCCUGUCCACCGAAUGACUAAGGUUUCCUGGGGAAGGCUCGUCCUCCCAGGGUUAGUCGGGACCUAAGCUGAGGCCGAGAGGCGUAGGCGAUGGACAACGGGUUGAUAUUCCCGUACCGGUCUGAUUUGUUUGAGCAAUGGAGGGACGCAGGAGGCUAACGAUGCGCACUAUCGGAUGUGCGUCCAAGCAGCAAGUCUGUCGGCGAGUCAAAUGCUUGCCGGCUCAAGGACAAGCUGUGA
RNAcentral lists this ribosomal RNA (1323 nucleotides) under Ligilactobacillus ruminis. RNAcentral describes it as "partial 23S ribosomal RNA". It matches the Rfam family "Bacterial large subunit ribosomal RNA", at positions 242 to 1566 of the family's 2925-position model. Lineage: Bacteria; Bacillati; Bacillota; Bacilli; Lactobacillales; Lactobacillaceae. The record is from RNAcentral.